AUGAAGCUGUUGGAAACAUGGGGAAGUAUGGAAAGGCAACAUCUAACUGGAAUUACCAUAAUGAAAGAGUGUUUGCAGUCUGUUGUAUGCAAAGUUCCUCUCUUGGAAGGUGCAAAAGUGGAUAUGCAAUUAGUGUCCAUUGCUCAGCGGCGUGCAUCUGAUCUAGCUGAUUCUAUAAAGUCAGUGCUAUCUACCUUUUCACCCUUGGUAUGUUUGUUAACACUGCACUAGCCUUGUUUUUUUAUUUUUUUUGACAAAUAUUAGUUUGUUGGUUUUUGUUAGCAAUUUCAAUUGGAGCCUUGGAGGGAUUCUAACCCAUGACCUCUCUCCCCUCACUUCUCCCUUCACCCUUCCCCAACUAUUGGGCCAACCUUAUAUCUCCCUGCACUAGUCUUGUUAUUGUUUGGUGAUGACUUAAAAUUGAAAUUGAAAUUCCUCCAUAAUCAGGCUGGUAAGACUGCUGAGUUGCUAUCAGAGUUAGCGAGAGUUGUCGCGCAAGAGAAGUUGCUCUUACAGGAAUUGAAUGAUAUCUUCCACAACAUGUCUGUCCUUGAGCUUAAAGAAAGGAGCCUGAUGUGCAGUCUCAUUCAACUGAAGUGUUGAAAAGGAGAAUAUCAAAAGCUGCAAUUACUGUCCGAGAUUACAUGUUAGGUAUUCGAGUAAAUAGUAGAUCAGCAAAAUUAACAAAUACAUAUAAUCAACAUGUAAACAAUAAACUACAAACGAUGUUCAAUGGUAAAGAAGUAUUUGUAUAUAAAUGCUGCUAACAUAGAUAGCAUUAGCAUUUGUUCAUACAACCUCUCAAAUUUUUUAUUUUUAUUUUUAUUUUUUAUGAGCAUGCAGGAUUAGUUUCUGUUUA
Molecule: long non-coding RNA, 859 nt
Organism: Glycine soja
Lineage: Eukaryota; Viridiplantae; Streptophyta; Magnoliopsida; Fabales; Fabaceae
Exons: 3
Source: RefSeq, a predicted model, not a curated record